This 313-nucleotide long non-coding RNA is filed under the name Phoenix dactylifera (date palm). RNAcentral describes it as "long non-coding RNA (PDAC_LNC020608)". The record is from RNAcentral. Lineage: Eukaryota; Viridiplantae; Streptophyta; Magnoliopsida; Arecales; Arecaceae.
UGUCUAUGAAUCAUCCAAGGAAUUAAUAAGAUGAUGAUACAUAUUCUCAAGAGUUGAGAAUUUGAGCCAUGUAUCAUUGGUGAUUAAUUUCUAAAUGCUCCUGAUCAAUGGAUCAUCACGAGGACGGUGAUCGAUCCGGUCAGUGCACAGAUCACUUUCCUUCUGGAUGGACGAGACUCGAGUCCACAGUGUAGGGACACUGAAGUGAUAGUGCUGGUGCUUGUUAGAGAACAAGGGUACUGAGCGUGACCAAGACAAGAAGUCACUUGGAUGUCUAUCUACUCGUCAGUGACUUACUUGAUGUUGCAGUAGU